UAAUUUACACAUGGAGUCUCUGCGUCCUUCCCCUCCCCCUCUCCCCUCCCAGUACCCGGUGCCUCUUUCUCAUCUCACCUCUCUUUGUCUUUCAGGGGAGCCCCGAUGUCUUGUCCAGCCCCACCCUGGGGCACAUUCAUAACCCCAGGAUCCACGCUAUACACUGCGGGGCAGCCCAUACUGCACUCGAUGCUCACCGCACCUGUUACCUCGUCACUCGGCUCUAGGGUCCAUCAAGGAGUUCGCCUGCUGACACCUCCGACCCACCUCCAUAUUUAUCAUAUCUCUUCUGAUUGGGUGCCGAGGAAACCUCCAGAACAUCUCCAGGGCCGGGGGAUGGGCCUACCUCAUACUGUUCUGCAUUGUUCUACAUUCUAAUAAAUUAUUAUCCAUUUAUUCCA
Molecule: long non-coding RNA, 401 nt
Organism: Rana temporaria (common frog)
Lineage: Eukaryota; Metazoa; Chordata; Amphibia; Anura; Ranidae
Exons: 2
Source: RefSeq, a predicted model, not a curated record